RNAcentral lists this ribosomal RNA (655 nucleotides) under uncultured archaeon. RNAcentral's name for it is "bacterial SSU rRNA". It matches the Rfam family "Archaeal small subunit ribosomal RNA", at positions 162 to 815 of the family's 1478-position model. The record is from RNAcentral.
CUGAGGUACUGGAAGGUCNUCAGGCCGAAAGGGGCUCUGCCCGCCCGAGGAUGGGCCGGCGGCCGAUUAGGUAGUUGGUGGGGUAACGGCCCACCAAGCCGAAGAUCGGUACGGGCCAUGAGAGUGGGAGCCCGGAGAUGGACACUGAGACACGGGUCCAGGCCCUACGGGGCGCAGCAGGCGCGAAACCUCCGCAAUGCGGGCAACCGCGACGGGGGGACCCCCAGUGCCGUGGCAACGCCACGGCUUUUCCGGAGUGUAAAAAGCUCCGGGAAUAAGGGCUGGGCAAGGCCGGUGGCAGCCGCCGCGGUAAUACCGGCGGCCCGAGUGGUGGCCGCUAUUAUUGGGCCUAAAGCGUCCGUAGCCGGGCCCGUAAGUCCCUGGCGAAAUCCCACGGCUCAACCGUGGGGCUUGCUGGGGAUACUGCGGGCCUUGGGACCGGGAGAGGCCGGGGGUACCCCUGGGGUAGGGGUGAAAUCCUAUAAUCCCAGGGGGACCGCCAGUGGCGAAGGCGCCCGGCUGGAACGGGUCCGACGGUGAGGGACGAAGGCCAGGGGAGCGAACCGGAUUAGAUACCCGGGUAGUCCUGGCUGUAAAGGAUGCGGGCUAGGUGUCGGGCGAGCUUCGAGCUCGCCCGGUGCCGAAGGGAAGCCGU